RNAcentral lists this ribosomal RNA (373 nucleotides) under uncultured bacterium. RNAcentral's name for it is "bacterial SSU rRNA". It matches the Rfam family "Bacterial small subunit ribosomal RNA", at positions 521 to 896 of the family's 1533-position model. The record is from RNAcentral.
UAAUACGUAGGUGGCAAGCGUUGUCCGGAUUUAUUGGGUUUAAAGGGUGCGUAGGCGGUCUUUUAAGUCAGUGCUGAAAUACUCCAGCUUAACUGGAGGGGUGGCAUUGAUACUGGAAGACUCGAGUGGAGUCGAAGUAGGCGGAAUUGACGGUGUAGCGGUGAAAUGCUUAGAUAUCGUCAAGAACACCGAUAGUGAAGACAGCUUACUAGGCUUCAACUGACGCUGAGGCACGAAAGUGUGGGGAUCAAACAGGAUUAGAUACCCUGGUAGUCCACACUGUAAACGUUGAUUACUCGCUGUGUGCGAUAUACAGUACGCGGCCAAGCGAAAGCGAUAAGUAAUCCACCUGGGGAGUACGCCGGCAACGGUG